Long non-coding RNA from Manis pentadactyla (Chinese pangolin), 817 nucleotides. RefSeq lists it as uncharacterized. The transcript has 4 exons. The record is from RefSeq and is a predicted model, not a curated record. Lineage: Eukaryota; Metazoa; Chordata; Mammalia; Pholidota; Manidae.
UCCCGGACCGUGUUUGUCUGUGCCUCAGCCCCUACUAUGCUGUGAGUAGAGUGAACGUACGGUCCUGUGUCUGCAUACCUGUUUGUCCUCCAUAUCUUCCCAGGCCACCCCUCAUCCCCACCCCAAGGUGAGGCUGUAAAGAGGAGAGAAAAACCACCGUGCCUUUAGGGGAACUGAAACGCAGCCGCGUCUGCUCUUAGGAGCACGUAAUGGGUUACAGCACGGCUUCCUCAGUGCCUGGUGGGUAACUUAGGAGAAGCUGAAAGGGAUGUCUCCGUUGGGUGCAUGACUAAGAGUCCAGCUCUUCCUGUGAGUUAGCCCAGCAUUCGCGUCUGCGUUAACUACCUCAAGUGAGGAACUUCACAGCGUUCAGUGAGGCAUAACUCAGACACGCUGGAGUCAGCUCGGCAGGUGAGCCCAGCAGGUGUGGCAGAUGUGUUCUCCAGAUCCAUGCUCUUCUCCGAGGGAGACAUAGCUGUCCCAUUUGUUAUUUUAAAUGAAAAGCCAUUUAGAAAAGAAAAUGUCUUAUUUACAUGCCUAGAUUAUGUGUCUUCACCUCUUAUUUAGGCAUUCCUGUAGUCAGCCUGCAAAACAUGACUCCAUAACCCUUAGUUUAUGGAGGAAAGAUAAACAAAUUCCCUGGAUGUGUUCUGUAAUAUUCUUUCAGAGAUUAUUUACUAAGCAACUUACAUGUGCCAGAUCUCUGAUAGGGACUGUGAUUUGAAAAUAAGAAAUAUAACCGCUAAUCUCAAGGAGCUCAGAGUCUGGUGUGUUUGUGUAUGUGUAUGUAAAACAGAAACAAACAAAUAAAAAUCAU